GCCCAGGGUUAGGGCUUCAGGGUCAGGGCCCGGGGCCCAGGGUUAGGGCUUCAGGGUCAGGGCCCGGGGCCGGGGCCCAGGGUUAGGGUUUUAGGGUCAGGGCCCGGGGCCCAGGGUUAGGGUUUUAGGGUCAGGGCCCGGGGCCCAGGGUUAGGGUGAUUUCCAGGAAGUGACCUCACAACGAUUCAAGCUACCACUUACUGUUGAUUGUGAUGAAAUGCCAGCUGAGGCACACGCCUUGGGAGCUAAGUGGUUGCUGCCCUUGACUACUAUGAAGACUCUUGUGGGAAGGGUCGCUUUGGAUGCACUUGAGCAGGGGUCCCCAACCCCUGAGCCAUGGAGUCGUAAGGAGGCACACAGCAGGUGAGUGGUGUCGAGUGAGGGAGUGAGGGAAGCUUCGUCUGUAUUUACAGCCACUCCCCUUUGCUCACAUUCCCGCCUGAGCUCCACCUUCUCAGAUGAGCAGCAGCAUUAGAUUCUCAUAGGAGAAUGCACCCUGUUGUGAACCGUGCAUGUGAGGGAUCCAGGUUGCGCUGUUCUUAUGAGAAUCUAAUACCUAUUGAUCUGUCACUUUCUCCCAUCACGCUCAGGUGGGACCAUCCAGUUUCAGGAAAACAAGCUUAACACGCCCACUGAUUCUACAUUAUGCUCCUACCUCCCGGCAGCCUCUCCAGGCCCAGAACUCUCUCCAGUCAGCCUCUACAGACCAAGCUCAUGACUCACAAUGGCCUAUUGAGGCCCAUACCCUACCUCACGGCAGUCUCCGCAGAUGAGCCUACUGCCUCACAACAGCCUCCACAGGCACAGCUCCAUCGUUACAAUGGCCUCUUUAGACCCAGCUCCUGCCUCCCAGCCUUCUCUCCAGGCCCUGAACUUUCUCCGUGGGACCAUCCAGUUUCAGGAAAACAAGCUUAACACGCCCACUGAUUCUACAUUAUGCUCCUACCUCCCGGCAGCCUCUCCAGGCCCAGAACUCUCUCCAGUCAGCCUCUACAGACCAAGCUCAUGACUCACAAUGGCCUAUUGAGGCCCAUACCCUACCUCACGGCAGUCUCCGCAGAUGAGCCUACUGCCUCACAACAGCCUCCACAGGCACAGCUCCAUCGUUACAAUGGCCUCUUUAGACCCAGCUCCUGCCUCCCAGCCUUCUCUCCAGGCCCUGAACUUUCUCCGGUCUCCCUCUGUUGUCCGAGGCUGGAGGGUAGUAGUGCUAUCGCAGCUGACUGCAGCCUCAACCUUCCAGGCUGAAGCGAUCCUCCCAUCUCAACCUCCCACGUGGCUGAGACUACAGGUGCUUGCCACUAUGCCCAACUAAUAUUUGGUAUUUUCGUACACGUGGAUUCCAGAGGGGUAACAGCGAAACGUGGGACCAUCCAGUUUCAGGAAAACAAGCUUAACACGCCCACUGAUUCUACAUUAUGAUUCUUCAGGCCCAGCAUCUGCCUCACUGUGGACCCCCCAAGCCAAGCUCCCAACCUUUCAGCAGCUUCUACACACCCAGCUCCCGCCUGCCAGUGGCCUCUUCAGGCCCAUGGGGCUCAUUCCUCACAACAGCCUUUCCAGUCCCAGUUUUUCCCUUCCGGCGGCCUCUCCGGGCUGAGAACCUCCUCAAGUCGGCCUCUCCAGACCCACUUGCACCCUCCAGGCGUCCUCUCCGGGCCAAGCUCCUCUUCCUGGCUGCGUCUCCAGGCCCGACUCCUGCCUCUCAACAACCUCUUUGGACUCAGUGCCUACCCAUCUCCUGGCGUCCUUGGUCGGACCACAGCUUCCUCAAGCCAAGCUCCCCAGGCCCAGGUCAGGCCUCACGGUGCCCCCUCCACGAUGAGCUCAUGCCCUCCAAUGGCACCUGCAGGCCCCAAAUGGUCUCCGGUCGGUGGGCUCCUCCACGCCAAGCUUGGGCCUCCCGGUGACCUCUGCAGGCCCAAGUUGUCCUGAAGUCAGCAUCUCCCGGCCGUGCCUCCCAGCAAGUAAGCAAGCUCUUUUGGCUCAACUCCUGCCCAGCUCCCAACCGCCUUUGUAGGUCCCGAACUUUCUCCAGCCAAGUUCUUUGGGCCUCAUUCCUGCAGCCCGGUGGCCUGUACGGGCCCAGCAAUGGUUGGAGAAUGGCCUCUGCAGGUCCCGCUCUUGCCUCCCAGGGGCCUCUCCAGGCCCAGCUCUCGCCCCCACGGCGGCCACCCGGGGCCAAGUCCCUGCCUGCCUCCCAGCAGCCCGCAUGCGGCCCAGCUCCUCCCUCACGGUGGCCUGUUGAUGCCCAUGCCUCUGGUACCCUGCCCAGAGGCAUGAGCCCCUGCCACACACUGGCUCCUCCCACGCUGAGAGAGGUCAGCGUGAGCCCUUGCCUCACACCGGCCCCUCCCACGCUGAGAGAGGUCAGCGUGAGCCCCUUGCCUCACACCGGCCCCUCCCACGCUGAGAGAGGUCGGCGUGAGCCCUUGACUCACACCGGCCCCUCCCACGGUGAGAGAGGUCGGCGUGAGCCCCUUGCCUCACACCGGCCCCUCCCACGCUGAGAGAGGUCAGCGUGAGCCCUUGCCUCACACCGGACCCUCCCACGGUGAGAGAGGUCAGCGUCAGCCCCUUGCCUCACACCGGCCCCUCCCACGCUGAGAGAGGUCGGCGUGAGCCCCUUACCUCACACCGGCCCCUCCCACGCUGAGAGAGGUCAGCCUGAGCCCCUUACCUCACACCAGCCCCUCCCACGCUGACAGAGGUCAGCGUGAGCCCCUUGCCUCACCCCGGCCCCUCCCACGCUGAGAGAGGUCGGCGUGAGCCCUUGCCUCACACCGGCCCCUCCCACGCUGAGAGAGGUCAGGGUGAGCCCUUGCCUCACACCGGCCCCUCCCACGCUGACAGAGGUCAGCCUCAGCCCCUUACCUCACACCAGCCCCUCCCACGCUGAGAGAGGUCGGCGUGAGCCCUUGCCUCACACCGGCCCCUCCCACGCUGAGAGAGGUCAGCCUGAGCCCUUGCCUCACACCGGCCCCUCCCACGCUGACAGAGGUCAGCCUCAGCCCCUUACCUCACACCAGCCCCUCCCACGCUGAGAGAGGUCGGCGUGAGCCCUUGCCUCACACCGGCCCCUCCCACGCUGAGAGAGGUCAGUGUGAGCCCUUGCCUCACACCGGCCCCUCCCACGCUGAGAGAGGUCAGCGUGAGCCCUUGCCUCACACCGGCCCCUCCCACGCUGACAGAGGUCAGCCUGAGCCCCUUACCUCACACCAGCCCCUCCCACGCUGACAGAGGUCAGCGUGAGCCCCUUGCCUCACCCCGGCCCCUCCCACGCUGAGAGAGGUCGGCGUGAGCCCUUGCCUCACACCGGCCCCUCCCACGCUGAGAGAGGUCAGCGUGAGCCCUUGCCUCACACCGGCCCCUCCCACGCUGACAGAGGUCAGCCUCAGCCCCUUACCUCACACCGGCCCCUCCCACGCUGAGAGAGGUCGGCGUGAGCCCUUGCCUCACACCGGCCCCUCCCACGCUGAGAGGUCGGCGUGAGCCCCUUGCCUCACACCGGCCCCUCCCACUGUGAGAGAGGUCAGCGUGAGCCCUUGCCUCACACCGGCCCCUCCCACGCUGAGAGAGGUCGGCGUGAGCCCCUGCCUCAACAGGCCACCGUGAGGGAGGAGCAGGGUCGCACGAGGGCUGCUGUGAGGCAGGCAGCGACUUGGGCCUGGGAGGUCGUGGUGGGGCGAGAGCUGGGCUUGGAGACUCCCCUGGGAGGCAACAGCGGGGCCUACAGACUCUGUUCUCCAGCCGGAGGUGGGACUGUUCAGGUACUGGGAGGCGGGAUGUGGGUCUGAAGAGCUUGGUUGCAGAAACUUCGGGGUCUACAAACGCAGGCGGGAGCUGAGCCAAAAAAGCUUGUUUGCUGGGAGGCGGGAGAUGCAGCCAGGAGAAACAGGUGUGCCUGCAGAGGCCGCCAUGCGGGAGGCGGAGGCCGGGCCUCCUCAAAUCGGCCUCUCCAGACCCACUUGCAGCCUCCCGGCAUCCUCUCCGGGCCCAGCUCUUCCUCCCGGCUGUGUCUCCAGGCCUGACUCUGGCCUCCCAACAACGUCUUUGGACUCAGCUCCUGCCCAGCUCCCAGCAGGCCCAAGUCGUCGUCAAGUCGGCCUGGAAUUGGGCCCGGAAGAGCAGCAAGUCGGCCUCCCCGGGCCCAGCUCCGUCCUCUCGGCGGCCUCUCCAGGUGCAAAACUUCCUCGAGUCAGCCUCUCCAGGCCCAGCUCCUCCUGCCUCCCAGUGGCCUCUUUCAGCCCAGACCAGCUCAUGGCUCUUGGCGGCCUUCCCAGGCCCCGCUUUUGACUUUUGGUGGCCUCUUCAGGCCCAGAACUUGACCUCCAGUGGGCCUUUGCAGGCCCGGCCUCCUGCCUCUCGAAGGCCUGCACGGGCCCGGACUCACAGCGGACUCACAGCGGACUCUCCAUGCCCAGCUAGCUCUCGCCUCAUUGCGGCCUCCCGAGUCCAAAGCUCCUGCCUCUCGGCCGCUUCGGCAGGCCCAGCUCCCGCCUGCCAGUGGCCUCUUUAGGUCCAGCUCAUUCCUCACAACGGCCUUCCCAGGCCCCGUUUUUCCCUUCCGGCAGCCUCUUGGCCUCUAAUUUGUUUAUCUUUUGUGUAUAAAUCCCAAAAUAUUGAAUUUUGGAAUAUUUCCACCAUUAUGUAAAUAUUUUGGUAGGUGAUUUAUUUGGGGUGAGUUUCUGCACCAAGCCCGAAUUUUUUAUUUUAUUUUCCUUAUUAUUUGGUGUUAAACAGGUUUAAUGACGGUCACGGCAACUGUUUGACACAAUGAAAAAUAUCGCCCAUGA
Long non-coding RNA from Gorilla gorilla gorilla (western lowland gorilla), 4796 nucleotides. RefSeq lists it as uncharacterized. Lineage: Eukaryota; Metazoa; Chordata; Mammalia; Primates; Hominidae. The transcript has 8 exons. The record is from RefSeq and is a predicted model, not a curated record.